AAAUGCCGCCACCCACAUUGAGACAUGAGUUGUAAGGUCUCACUUGCUUCCCCGCCCUUCAAACUAAAACGAAUUACUGCUUCACGGCAGAAAUAGACAGGGUGGUGGUACCUUCCCAUGCGGACUCGAAAGACGUUCUACAACCAGUAAAAAUUAAAUUAGAUUAAAUCUAAAAUUGAUUAUGUGUUUUGUACAAUAUGACCAGCAUGGAUGACCUUUUAAUGCUUGUAUUCAUCACGCACUGCAAGCAACAGGGUGUGGUCGAUCUAUAAUACCUCUCACCACUCAACCCUGUGAAUUUUGUGACAUGCGCAGAGCAUCUCGCAAUUCCCUCUGAAUUCUGAAUUACGAGCGGGCCUCAUUUGACGCCGCACCGCAUCCCGAGCUGGUCGCUUCAGAGUUACGCAAUCGUCCACUGUUCUACAGUAUCCCUGGCUUCUAAAAUGACUGUGCUCAAAAUUACAUCAGAUCUAAAUCGAUUGGAUGAUAAUAUGAGAAUUCAAAGAUUAAUAAGAAUAAAGAAAAUCAGGAAGUACGGCUGAGAACAUUCUAUUGAAGUGUUAGGAAUCUCUUAGGAGGUAUACAUUUUGUUCAAGAACUGUGCGAUGUUUCGUAACCGGUAUAUUGCCGCCAUCUUGUGAUUGAAGAAUCAAAAUGGCGCACCAAACAGUGUUCGAUGUUUUAUAGAAAUCAAAUUAUAUCGCAAAAUUUAGUCCGGUUACGAAAUAUUAAGACUUUAAGACAAUUAUGGUGAAUUUUAUUGUGUACUUUAUUGUGUUACUAUUUGCUAAACAUAGGCAUUGUUUGUUUAACGUUGGUUCGAUUAAUUACAGUAAUUCGUGACCUUAUUUUUGAUGAUCCUAAAAGUGAAUCAUUUAGAGACUUGAAAAUUUAGUGAACAGUGUCUGUGUUUAACAUUGUUACUUAUGCUGCGCGAUCAAUUUUGUCUUGUUACAAAAUUGAUAAAUGUUUUAUGUAUGUAUUUUUUUAACUGAUGUAUUUUUUGUGUAUCUGUUAUGUUACAUGAAUUCGCCUUAGCAUUUGCAUUGACAGACGUUGACACAUGUGAGUAUAUUCUUGGUUUGUU
This is a long non-coding RNA of Bombyx mori (domestic silkworm), 1087 nucleotides long. RefSeq lists it as uncharacterized. Lineage: Eukaryota; Metazoa; Arthropoda; Insecta; Lepidoptera; Bombycidae. The record is from RefSeq and is a predicted model, not a curated record. The transcript is spliced from 2 exons.